RNAcentral lists this ribosomal RNA (482 nucleotides) under uncultured bacterium. RNAcentral describes it as "partial 16S ribosomal RNA". It matches the Rfam family "Bacterial small subunit ribosomal RNA", at positions 30 to 507 of the family's 1533-position model. The record is from RNAcentral.
AUUGAACGCUGGCGGCAUGCUUUACACAUGCAAGUCGAACGGUAACAGGCCGCAAGGUGCCGACGAGUGGCGAACGGGUGAGUAAUGCAUCGGAACGUGCCCAGUCGUGGGGGAUAACUACUCGAAAGAGUAGCUAAUACCGCAUACGAUCUAUGGAUGAAAGCGGGGGACCGUAAGGCCUCGCGCGAUUGGAGCGGCCGAUGUCAGAUUAGGUAGUUGGUGGGGUAAAGGCUCACCAAGCCAACGAUCUGUAGCUGGUCUGAGAGGACAACCAGCCACACUGGGACUGAGACACGGCCCAGACUCCUACGGGAGGCAGCAGUGGGGAAUUUUGGACAAUGGGCGCAAGCCUGAUCCAGCAAUGCCGCGUGCAGGAAGAAGGCCUUCGGGUUGUAAACUGCUUUUGUACGGAACGAAACGGCUCUGGUUAAUACCCGGGGCUAAUGACGGUACCGUAAGAAUAAGCACCGGCUAACUACGUG